GAACCGUCCAAACGUUUAUUCGGAAUCAUUGGGCUUAAAGGGUGCGUAGGCGGUGUGGUCAGUUGGGUGUGAAAUCCCUCGGCUCAACCGAGGAACUGCGCCCAAUACUGCCACACUCGAGGGAGACAGAGGUAAGCGGAACUGAUGGUGGAGCGGUGAAAUGCGUUGAUAUCAUCAGGAACACCAGUGGCGAAGGCGGCUUACUGGGUCUCUUCUGACGCUGAGGCACGAAAGCUAGGGGAGCGAACGGGGGAUUAGAUACCCCGGUAGUCCUAGCCGUAAACGAUGAGCACUUGAUCGGAGACUCCUCCAUAGGUUUCCGGUCGUAGCGAAAGUGUUAAGUGCUCCGCCUGGGGAGUAUGGUCGCAAGGCUG
RNAcentral lists this ribosomal RNA (374 nucleotides) under uncultured organism. Its description in RNAcentral is "partial 16S ribosomal RNA". It matches the Rfam family "Bacterial small subunit ribosomal RNA", at positions 527 to 896 of the family's 1533-position model. The record is from RNAcentral.